AGAGUGAACGCUGGCGGCAGGCCUAACACAUGCAAGUCGAACGGCAGCACAGCAGAGCUUGCUCUGUGGGUGGCGAGUGGCGGACGGGUGAGGAUAACGUCGGAAUCUGCCUAUUUGUGGGGGAUAACGUAGGGAAACUUACGCUAAUACCGCAUACGACCUACGGGUGAAAGCGGAGGACCUUCGGGCUUCGCGCAGAUAGAUGAGCCGACGUCGGAUUAGCUAGUUGGCGGGGUAAAGGCCCACCAAGGCGACGAUCCGUAGCUGGUCUGAGAGGAUGAUCAGCCACACUGGAACUGAGACACGGUCCAGACUCCUACGGGAGGCAGCAGUGGGAUAUGGACAAUGGACGCAAGCCUGAUCCAGCCAUGCCGCGUGUGUGAAGAAGGCCUUACGGUUAGUAAGACUACGUUUGUACGGAAGAAAGCGACCGAGUUAACUACCGUGCGUACAGUGACGGUACG
RNAcentral lists this ribosomal RNA (464 nucleotides) under uncultured soil bacterium. RNAcentral's name for it is "bacterial SSU rRNA". It matches the Rfam family "Bacterial small subunit ribosomal RNA", at positions 26 to 494 of the family's 1533-position model. The record is from RNAcentral.